CUCAACAAUAGGUUAUUAGCCAUGCCUUGGAAAUUGAAACAAAUAAGCCAAAUCCCAACAGAAAACAACUCCUCAAUUUACAUAAAUCUGCCCACAACUCCACGUUGGAGGAUUUGGAAUCAACUUCAUAGAAAAUAGAGAGUUAGAGAGGGGAGAGUUUCAUCAAGAGUAGCUCACAGCAGCCGGGUGCGACCGUUCAACGACGAGCUUGGAGGCAGCGGCGACAGAGAGACACGAGCAGCAGCGGCGGUGCGACAUCGACUGCACCGUGACAGCAGCGGCGAGCGGACUGCGCAGCCCACGACGACGGUGGAGAAAGCAAGACAACGCUGUGCAAUUGAAACGGAAAAGAUGGAGAGUUCACGGUCGCGACGACGGCUGCACGGCGGACAGCGGCUAUCUCGAUCUGGAGCAGCAGCGGCUGGACUUCGGCAGUCACAGAGUGAAGAGGAGACGGCAGUGCUUGAUGCAGCAGCUCGCGUCGGCGGACAGCAGCUCGCGUGGCAAAAAACGGUGGCAGCGGCAAUGCCGAGUUUUGCCGGAGAGAAGAAGCGAGGGAGAAAAGAAAGUUGCUGCUCAAAUUUGGAGAUUUGUUCCUCUAAAUGUUAAGUUAGAAGAGAGGGAAACGGAAAGAGAGGUGGAAGAGAAGAAGAAGGAAAAUAAUUUGGAAACUUCAAAAUCCUUGGAUUUCACGUAAGUGAAGGAGAUGAUUGGAGUUAAUCUAGUUUUUGGGCCGGAGUACAUUAAAUCAAUAGGUGACUCUAUGCACGCUUUUCGAGAACGAAAUGGAACACAAGUUAAGGCUUUAAACGAACGAGCUAUUAGGCAUUUGUUCGCGAAGAAGGAUGCAAAGCCCUGACUCAUAAGAUGGAUUUUGUUACUACAAGAAUUUGAUGUGGAGAUUCGCGAUCGGAAGAGCUGUGAGAAUGUAGUGGCCGACCACUUGUCUCGAUUGGAGCAUCCGGUGGAUGGAGAAGAUCUAUCGCGAGAAAUCAACGAGGACUUCCCCGGCGAGCAUCUAAUCUUUACUCAAGCCACUUUUCCAUGGUACUCUGAUUUUGUCAAUUAUUUAGUAGCGAAGGUACAUCCUCCCGAUCUUACUCCUUACCAAAAGAAGAAAUUUCAUAGAGAUGUAAGGUCUUAUGUUUGGGAUGAUCCAUAUUUGUUAAAGAGAUGUGCAGAUAUUAUACUUAUAAGGUGUGUACCCAAGAAGAGUGGGGUGUCAUAGUGGAGAGAUGCCAUUCAUCACCAACAGGAGGAUAUUCGGUGUGCAAAGGACUGCCAUCAAAAUCCAUCAAAGUGGUUUUUAUUGGCCAACGAUUUAUCGUGACUCCUCCAGUUUUGUGCUCCAAUGCAAUGAAUGCCAACACACGAGGGGAAUAUCAAAGAAGAAGGAGAUGCCUAUGAACACCAUCAUUGAGGUAGAAUUGUUUGAUGUAUGAGGGAUAGACUUUAUGGGACCAUUCGCAAAAUCGGGGGAGUAUCAAUACAUUUUACUUGUUGAAUAUGUUUCUCAAUGGGUGGAAGCAAUUCCUACCAAAACUAAUGACUCUAAAGUUGUGACUUCUUUUGUGUAUAAAAAUAUUUUUAGUAGGUUUGGUACACCCCGUGCCCUCAUAAGUGAUGGAGGAUCUCACUUCAACAAUAUGUGGCUAGACAACGUGUUGGACAAGUAUGGAGUCAAGCAUAAGAUCACUUCUCGGUACCAUCCUCAAGCUAAUGGGCAGACAGAGCUUGCAAAUAGGGAGGUUAAGUCCAUCCUACAAAAGACGGUGAGAACAAAUAGAAAGGAUUGGGCACUACGUUUGGAUGAUGCAUUGUGGGCAUACCGCACCGCAUAUAAAUCUCUUAUAGGUAUGUCUCCUUACCAAUUAGUUUUUGGAAAAUCAUGUCAUUUGCCUUUUGAGUUGGAGCAUAGGUCCUAUUGGGCGGUAAAGAAGCUAAAUCAAGACUUCCAGAAGGCCGGAGAAGAAAGGCGCAUGUUCCUCAAUGAGAUGGACGAAUUUCGAAUGGAAGCAUAUGAUAGCUCUUCUACCUACAAGGAGCGGAUGAAAGCUUACCAUGACAAGAUGAUCAGGGCAAGGCGUGGCGACCGCCACCCAAGAGUAAGAAGCCUCGGAUCAAUGCAUGGCGACCGCUGACCAAGGUGCAACGGUCAACCACAAAAGAGCGGCGAACAGAUUUGCCCUAAUUUCUCUCCAAGAUUUACCAUAUUUUACAACCCUUUUCCUUAUUUGAGAAGAGGCGAUUUCUCCCCUAUAAAUAGCCCCUCAAGCUUCUUCAAAAUAAUCCUCUUUUUGCAAUAUAUUUUCCAGAGAUUUAUAGUGCUUCAUUGUGCAAGGAGUUGGAGAAGGAUUCAAGAACAUCAAAGCUACAAGGAUUCAACCUUUGAGUUUUAUUUUCUUUAGUUUUAUGUUCCAA
Molecule: long non-coding RNA, 2421 nt
Organism: Salvia splendens (bonfire salvia)
Lineage: Eukaryota; Viridiplantae; Streptophyta; Magnoliopsida; Lamiales; Lamiaceae
Exons: 3
Source: RefSeq, a predicted model, not a curated record